CUCAAAUAAUUGCUCUCUUCCCCUCCCUCAUCGUCUCCAUUUCUUCCUCGAUCUGAAAUGAUCUAUGGAUACAGGAUCCACUAUCACCUUAGAGAUGCUUGUGACACCGCCUACACCAAUGGCUCGAGGGUGAGCCGAUCUACAAAACCCAUAUGGUCGGGUCACUUCUUGGAAGGUUCCUUACCUCCAUUCAUCCCACGCGCCACCACUAUCAGGAUCCUAUUGUCUUGAUGUCUUUCUCCAUGCCUUCACAACGUUCUCUGUUUUAUGCUAAUUUCUGUGUGGUGAAUUUACAAGCAUAUAUAAUCCAGUAAAAUUACCAAGGAACCGCAGUUUGAAGCCACUGCCUCAAAAGUUUUAUGUCUCAUAGUUGAAGAGAUUUGCCUUCUAUUGUUGUUCAUGUGACCGGUGCCUUAGUUUACAAUUCAACUCUCACUGAAAGAGUGUUCAUUCUGGUGGAAGGCUGUAGAAUGUGUACGAAAUGCUUCUGAUGGUACCUUGAUGCAUUCUUUGACGGGUCACAAUGAAUCUGUACCAAUUCACUUCUCAUUUGUUUUGAAGGGUUGCACUUGCAGGCGGACUUAAAAAGCUGGACUUCAAAAGUUGGACAGAGCUAAAGACCAAAGAGGAUCACCACAAAGCGGAAAGUGCUAGUACUCUGACUUAUGAUUUAAUUUCAGAUGUUUAGUAUACUCGGGACCAUUAAAUGUAUCUGAUUGUCUAAUUUUUUAUUAUCAGUAGUGUGUAUUACCAUGUAUAUAUUGUGGAUGUCAUCGGAAAAAAAUGUAUAUAUUGUGGAUACAAGACUGAUGACCAGGAAGAAAAAAAGGGGAAAAAAAAGUAAAAAAAAAGCUCCAGUUUGGUGCCAAUUAAAAAUGGCACCAAUUUUUUUUAAAAAAAAUUUGG
Molecule: long non-coding RNA, 906 nt
Organism: Rosa rugosa (rugosa rose)
Lineage: Eukaryota; Viridiplantae; Streptophyta; Magnoliopsida; Rosales; Rosaceae
Exons: 6
Source: RefSeq, a predicted model, not a curated record